CUAAUGCUUUUUGUCGUAGUGAGUGGAGUGGGGAGUUCAGCAUGGCCCCUGAAUUGCCUGCCACCUGCAGUGUCACUGGAGGAAGUGGAGCAGGAGAAACGGCCACGGAUCCUUCCGGAGGAGCUUUUACCUCACCAAAGCUUUAUGAGGCUGAAGGCAGGCAAUUUAUCCUCUCAUCUGACCAGGUUUUUGUGCAAGGAAGAAAGGCUUCUCUGUUCAUAAAUACAAACUCUUCCCCUCAGCCCAUUGGAGUACCUGUUUUAUUCUGUGGAACGAAGUGUUGGCCAGAUUCUGGUUCCCAUUGUCUGCCAGACCCUGCUCUUGCUAAUGGGAGGAACUCUAAUUGAGCUGUCAGGAGAACCUUUUGUGGAAGGAAUGAACUCACCCCUCAUUCAAGGUUGUGCCGUUAGGAAGCCGUGAUGCCAGGACAGAACUCAGCCCUGCCUGCCCCUGUCCUUCUCAUCCAUCCUGCUGUGUCUUUCUCACAUUCAAGGGCCUUACAACCAAUGGUAAGUGCAAUUAUUAUGCCCUCUUAGCCUACAGAGAGCUGCCCACAGGGUGCCCUAGGAAGCCCAGGUAG
This 580-nucleotide long non-coding RNA is filed under the name Chinchilla lanigera (long-tailed chinchilla). RNAcentral's name for it is "lncRNA (ENSCLAG00000028541.1)". The record is from RNAcentral. Lineage: Eukaryota; Metazoa; Chordata; Mammalia; Rodentia; Chinchillidae.